AGAACGAACGCUGGCGGCAUGCCUAACACAUGCAAGUCGAACGCUCACCGGGCUUCGGUUCGGUGGGAGUGGCGCACGGGUGAGUAGCGCGUGGGAACCUGCCCUGUUGUGGGGGAUAACCGAGGGAAACUUCGGCUAAUACCGCAUGCGCCCGGGGAAACCCGGGGAAAGAUUUAUCGCAGCAGGAGGGGCCCGCGUCGGAUUAGGUAGUUGGUAGGGUAACGGCCUACCAAGCCUUUGAUCCGUAGCUGGUCUGAGAGGAUGAUCAGCCACACUGGGACUGAGACACGGCCCAGACUCCUACGGGAGGCAGCAGUGGGGAAUAUUGGACAAUGGGCGCAAGCCUGAUCCAGCAAUGCGCGUGAGUGAUGAAGGCCUUAGGGUUGUAAAGCUCUUUCGCCCGCGACGAUGAUGACGGUAGCGGGAGAAGAAGCCCCGGCUAACUUCGCGCCAGCAGCCGC
This 461-nucleotide ribosomal RNA is filed under the name uncultured bacterium. Its description in RNAcentral is "SSU rRNA". It matches the Rfam family "Bacterial small subunit ribosomal RNA", at positions 26 to 518 of the family's 1533-position model. The record is from RNAcentral.